AGAGUUUGAUCCUGGCUCAGAUUGAACGCUGGCGGCAUGCCUUACACAUGCAAGUCGAACGGCAGCACGGGGGCAACCCUGGUGGCGAGUGGCGAACGGGUGAGUAAUAUAUCGGAACGUACCCAGAAGUGGGGGAUAACGCAGCGAAAGUUGCGCUAAUACCGCAUACGAUCUACGGAUGAAAGUGGGGGACCUGCAAGGGCCUCAUGCUUUUGGAGCGGCCGAUAUCUGAUUAGCUAGUUGGUGAGGUAAAAGCUCACCAAGGCGACGAUCAGUAGCUGGUCUGAGAGGACGACCAGCCACACUGGAACUGAGACACGGUCCAGACUCCUACGGGAGGCAGCAGUGGGGAAUUUUGGACAAUGGGGGCAACCCUGAUCCAGCAAUGCCGCGUGAGUGAAGAAUGCCUUCGGGUUGUACAGCUCUUUUGUCAGGGAAGA
Molecule: ribosomal RNA, 440 nt
Filed under: uncultured bacterium
Lineage: Bacteria
Description: bacterial SSU rRNA
Rfam family: Bacterial small subunit ribosomal RNA
Source: RNAcentral